AUACGGAGGAUGCGAGCGUUAUCCGGAUUUAUUGGGUUUAAAGGGUGCGUAGGCUGUGCGUUAAGUCAGGGGUGAAAUGCCGUCGCUCAACGACGGAGCUGCCCUUGAUACUGGCGUGCUGGAGUACGGAUGCCGUUGGAGGAAUGAGUGGUGUAGCGGUGAAAUGCUUAGAUAUCACUCAGAACACCGAUUGCGAAGGCAUCGGACGAAUCCGUCACUGACGCUGAGGCACGAAAGCGUGGGGAUAGAACAGGAUUAGAUACCCUGGUAUUCCACGCCGUAAACGAUGAUGACUAACCGUCGGCGAUAGACAGCCGGUGGCCAAGCGAAAGCGAUAAGUCAUCCACCUGGGGAGUACGGCGGCAACGAUGAAACUCAAAUGAAUUGACGGGG
This 393-nucleotide ribosomal RNA is filed under the name uncultured bacterium. Its description in RNAcentral is "partial 16S ribosomal RNA". It matches the Rfam family "Bacterial small subunit ribosomal RNA", at positions 523 to 918 of the family's 1533-position model. The record is from RNAcentral.